Molecule: ribosomal RNA, 429 nt
Filed under: Actinomycetes bacterium
Lineage: Bacteria; Bacillati; Actinomycetota; Actinomycetes
Description: Actinobacteria bacterium partial 16S ribosomal RNA
Rfam family: Bacterial small subunit ribosomal RNA
Source: RNAcentral
UAGGGAAUCUUCCGCAAUGGGCGAAAGCCUGUCGGAGCAACGCCGCGUGAGUGAUGAAGGUCUUCGGAUCGUAAAACUCUGUUAUUAGGGAAGAACAAAUGUGUAAGUAACUAUGCACGUCUUGACGGUACCUAAUCAGAAAGCCACGGCUAACUACGUGCCAGCAGCCGCGGUAAUACGUAGGUGGCAAGCGUUAUCCGGAAUUAUUGGGCGUAAAGCGCGCGUAGGCGGUUUUUUAAGUCUGAUGUGAAAGCCCACGGCUCAACCGUGGAGGGUCAUUGGAAACUGGAAAACUUGAGGGCAGAAGAGGAAAGUGGAAUUCCAUGUGGAGCGGUGAAAUGCGCAGAGAUAUGGAGGAACACCAGUGGCGAAGGCGGCUGUCUGGUCUGUAACUGACGCUGAUGUGCGAAAGCGUGGGGAUCAAACAGG